UACGUAGGGGGCAAGCGUUGUCCGGAUUUACUGGGCGUAAAGAGCGCGUAGGCGGAAGCUUAAGUGUGGUUUGAAAGCCCCCGGCUCAACCGGGGAAUGUGAUUGCAAACUGGGCUUCUUGAGGGGGAUAGAGGAGAGUGGAAUUCCUGGUGUAGCGGUGAAAUGCGCAGAUAUCAGGAGGAACACCGAUGGCGAAGGCAGGUCUCUGGGCAUUAACUGACGCUGAGGAGCGAAAGCAUGGGGAGCGAACAGG
RNAcentral lists this ribosomal RNA (253 nucleotides) under uncultured bacterium. RNAcentral's name for it is "partial 16S ribosomal RNA". It matches the Rfam family "Bacterial small subunit ribosomal RNA", at positions 524 to 776 of the family's 1533-position model. The record is from RNAcentral.